GUCUUCCAGACACACAGGUGGUUGCCCUUUACUGGCUCCUUGUUGGUUUCUUGAUGAAAUGGAAAGUUGAGCAGGAGACUUAUUUUGAACCCUAGGUUGCUCUCACGUUCUGUUCAUAGUAGUUUGACCAUUGGCUGUUUCAUGUGCUGUAUCGUUCAUGAAUUCUGACACUCGUCGCUUUUUUAGCACUAUCCUUUAUCUCUUCCCCGUUUUAUGCAAUCUUGAUCUCUUCCCCGUUUUAUGCAAUCUUGGCUGUUUUUGUGAUCCUUGUCUGUGUUGAGGUGUCAUUUACUUUUCUGCUAUCCUGUUUAUGGUUGAAUGAUAAGAUACUUCAGUCACCACUACAGUAAAUUAACUGAAAUCUCAUGUGUUACUGCAGUGGUAGUUCAAAUUGUAGCAAAGGGAUAGUGGUAGCAAUUAGGGGGAAAAAACUAGAAUCUUUAGUGUGGUAAAUAUGGCAACUGAGAGCCCUGUGAGAAUGGUGGAAGGUAGAAAAUGGUCAUCAACCAAGGAUGCUGCUAGUUAUGGAUCACCCUUAAAGUCGUCUAUUGCUGCUGAAGAAUUGGGGUUGCUUCUUAAAGGGCAUAGGAUGCACACAGAUCAAUCAGAAAGUGUUCCGAAUCGAAGUG
This 629-nucleotide long non-coding RNA is filed under the name Linum usitatissimum (flax). RNAcentral's name for it is "long non-coding RNA (LUSI_LNC002179)". Lineage: Eukaryota; Viridiplantae; Streptophyta; Magnoliopsida; Malpighiales; Linaceae. The record is from RNAcentral.